AAUAUUGCGCAAUGGGCGAAAGCCUGACGCAGCAACGCCGCGUGCGGGAUGAAGGCCUUCGGGUUGUAAACCGCUUUCAGCAGGGAAGAAGCGAAAGUGACGGUACCUGCAGAAGAAGCACCGGCUAACUACGUGCCAGCAGCCGCGGUAAUACGUAGGGUGCAAGCGUUGUCCGGAUUUAUUGGGCGUAAAGAGCUCGUAGGCGGUUAGUCACGUCGGAUGUGAAAACCCAGUGCUUAACACUGGGCCUGCAUUCGAUACGGGCUGACUAGAGUGUUGUAGGGGAGACUGGAACUCCUGGUGUAGCGGUGAAAUGUGCAGAUAUCAGGAAGAACACCGGUGGCGAAGGCGGGUCUCUGGGCAACUACUGACGCUGAGGAGCGAAAGCGUGGGGAGCAAACAGGAUUAGAUACCCUGGUAGUCCACGCCGUA
This 432-nucleotide ribosomal RNA is filed under the name uncultured marine bacterium. RNAcentral describes it as "bacterial SSU rRNA". It matches the Rfam family "Bacterial small subunit ribosomal RNA", at positions 360 to 804 of the family's 1533-position model. The record is from RNAcentral.